Molecule: long non-coding RNA, 478 nt
Organism: Dromaius novaehollandiae (emu)
Lineage: Eukaryota; Metazoa; Chordata; Aves; Casuariiformes; Dromaiidae
Exons: 2
Source: RefSeq, a predicted model, not a curated record
UACAAUUGCAACUUCCAGUUCACUUGGAGCAAGAUUCAGCUAAACAAAAUAGAGACCUGCAGAACAUCCUUGCUGAUGUGGCAGAAGGACCAGCCACCCACAGCUUCAGCUGGAACAGCCAUACUGUGGGUUUCUGCACGCCCUUAGAGCAAAGGAGGCACAGGUGUGCACUGGCUGCCACCUGGGAGGUAUCAUGCUGGUAAUAAUUCCUCAAGCCAGGUACCUUUAACUCUUAACAACACUGUUUGCAAUCUGAUGAAGGAAAACAGAGCUGUCAUGUGUAAAUGAGGGCAUAAUUCAGCCUGGAGACCUACUAAUGGUGCACUCCAAAAAAAAGAAGAAGAUUCUAUCUGGCUCUGAGCUGAGCUGAAUCUGCAUGUCUAGUAGUGAAGGACAGCAACCUUUCUGCAUAUGAAGUCUCACAUAACAUCAUUGAAAUGAAGUAAAAUCUGGAAGCUGUUUUCACCAUCAUCCUCCA